AUUGAACGCUGGCGGCGUGCCUAACACAUGCAAGUCGAGCGGUAACAGGUGUAGCAAUACAUGCUGACGAGCGGCGAACGGGUGAGUAAUGCUUCGGAAUCUGCCCAUGUAGUGGGGAAUAACCAGCCGAAAGGUUGGCUAAUACCGCAUACGACCUACGGGUGAAAGCAGGGGAUCGCAAGACCUUGCGCUAUUGGAUGAGCCGAAGUCGGAUUAGCUUGUUGGUAGGGUAACGGCCUACCAAGGCGACGAUCCGUAGCUGGUCUGAGAGGACGACCAGCCACACUGGGACUGAGACACGGCCCAGACUCCUACGGGAGGCAGCAGUGGGGAAUAUUGGACAAUGGGGCAACCCUGAUCAGCGACGCCGCGUGUGUGAAGAAGGCCUGGC
Molecule: ribosomal RNA, 391 nt
Filed under: uncultured bacterium
Lineage: Bacteria
Description: bacterial SSU rRNA
Rfam family: Bacterial small subunit ribosomal RNA
Source: RNAcentral